CCGUGGUGGAGGCUGGGGACAGCCCCAUGAUGGUGGCUAG
Non-coding RNA from Heterocephalus glaber (naked mole-rat), 40 nucleotides. Lineage: Eukaryota; Metazoa; Chordata; Mammalia; Rodentia; Bathyergidae. The record is from Rfam.